RNAcentral lists this ribosomal RNA (465 nucleotides) under uncultured bacterium. RNAcentral describes it as "bacterial SSU rRNA". It matches the Rfam family "Bacterial small subunit ribosomal RNA", at positions 917 to 1382 of the family's 1533-position model. The record is from RNAcentral.
GGACCCGCACAAGCAGUGGAGCAUGUGGUUUAAUUCGAUGCAACGCGAAGAACCUUACCCAGGCUUGACAUGCAGAGGACGUUAACAGAAAUGUUAAUUCCCUUCGGGGCUUCUGCACAGGUGCUGCAUGGCUGUCGUCAGCUCGUGCCGUGAGGUGUUGGGUUAAGUCCCGCAACGAGCGCAACCCUUGUCAUUAGUUGCCAACACGUAAUGGUGGGAACUCUAAUGAGACUGCCUAGGUUAACUAGGAGGAAGGUGAGGAUGAUGUCAAGUCCGCAUGGCCCUUAUGCCUGGGGCUACACACGUGCUACAAUGGUCGGUACAGAAGGCAGCGAAGCCGUGAGGUGAAGCAAAUCCGUAAAGCCGGCCCCAGUUCAGAUUGUAGUCUGCAACUCGACUACAUGAAGUUGGAAUUGCUAGUAAUGGCGUGUCAGCUACAACGCCGUGAAUACGUUCCCGGGUCUU